Long non-coding RNA from Entelurus aequoreus (snake pipefish), 1499 nucleotides. RefSeq lists it as uncharacterized. Lineage: Eukaryota; Metazoa; Chordata; Actinopteri; Syngnathiformes; Syngnathidae. The transcript is spliced from 5 exons. The record is from RefSeq and is a predicted model, not a curated record.
CUCACGUGACUACAGGGCGCCAUUGCUACUAACUUUGAGCUGAUGCUAUGUGUUUUUUGACGUGUAAAAAAUGCCAUGUUGUUGUGGUGCAGCAUGGGGCUGCUCCACCCGCGAGAAUCGUGGAAAGCUUUUACAUCGCUUUCCCUGGUCUACACCCUAGAAAGAAGACAAGUAUGGGAAGUAAAGGUUCGCCAUCUACACUGGAGAGUCACAGACCACAGCGUCUUGUGCCAGGGUGACAGAAGGGGUGGAGAUGGCCGAGGCACGGAAGUUGGCAGGCAAUGUUUCCGAAGAGUCGGCAGUCAUGCCGCGAAGGUCCUUCUCCCGGAACAUCUUCCUCCAUGAGGGUGACCGUGUGAACGUUUUGGUGCCGUCCUAUAGAACGCCCAACACAGUAAUAACAGUGAUUAACAGUAACCGCUGUCUCCAUGUUGUUGUGACAAUACACCAGUAGUGGCUCAAUUAUACAUGUUGUAUUAGGGCCUUGGUUAGCAGCGAUGUAAACACAGCUAAAGCAGCAACAGAAAGGAAAUUCAACACACCAUCUUGACUGGUUAUUUUGCAGACAGUACCUCAUCUGGCCUCCUCUCUGUUCCCAUGGAGAUAAGAGCAUUGUAUUCCUUCUCCAAGAGCUGCCUUGCCUGCAAACCAAUAGAAGAUCAAACCAUAUGAAGGAGUCGGAGAUUGCCAUCCCAUCUGUCCACCAGCACAUCUGCCGAGCUCAUUGGGUGUGGUUGGAUACAAGAGCGGUUCUGUCCCGGACAGCUGCCCAGAAUCAUAGGCUUACGCGGAUCACCAUAGGAUACCAGACCCCACUUAUCAAUCUGUACCUGAGGUAUGGCUGUCUUCUUAAGACUUAACAUUGCCUGCCUCCUCCAGAAAGCUUUCUUCCAGAUUCGUGGGGCCCUUUAAGAUCCCCAGGAUCAUCAGCCCUGUGGCGGUCGAACUCCAGCUGCCUCUAUCCAUCAAGCUACAUCUGGUGGUCUACGUCUCCAACCUCAAACCUGUUUCCACCAGUCCGCUGUGCCUUCCGUUGAUGCUUCCACUUCCUCCGCGCAUAAUCAGAGGUCACCCAGCAUUCACUGUGAAGGUCAUUUUAGACUCCAGAAGGCGAGGCAUGGGAGUUUAGUAUCUGGUCGACUUGGAGGGCUACGAUCCUUAAGAAUGCUCAUGGGUAUCAAGCGCCUGUAUCCUUGAUCCAUCUCUUCAGCGUGACUUCCACUCUCUCCAUCCUGAAACCCCAGCUUCUGAUUGGCCUCCUCCGACUUCGUCACCUCCCUCCUGGCGGCCGCAAGCUGCUCCUCAAUUUCACUGACCUGACGCGACGGCACAAAAGGGACACAAGACAACAAAGAUUGAACAGAUCAAGCAUUCCAGAUGGAGAAAAUAUGGCGCUCUGGCUGUACUGCAACUACUAGACUACACCACACACACACACACACACACACACACACACACACACACACACACACACACACACACACACUGUUGUACCUGUG